UACGUAGGGGGCGAGCGUUAUUCGGAUUUACUGGGCGUAAAGCGCGUGUAGGCGGCUGGUUAAGCGUGAUGUGAAAUCUCCGGGCUCAACCCGGAAACUGCAUUGCGAACUGGCCUGGCUGGAGUCCGGAAGAGGUGGGUGGAAUUCCUAGUGUAGAGGUGAAAUUCGUAGAUAUUAGGAAGAACACCGGUGGCGAAGGCGGCCCACUGGUCCGGUACUGACGCUGAGGUGCGAAAGCGUGGGGAGCAAACAGG
This 254-nucleotide ribosomal RNA is filed under the name uncultured bacterium. Its description in RNAcentral is "partial 16S ribosomal RNA". It matches the Rfam family "Bacterial small subunit ribosomal RNA", at positions 524 to 776 of the family's 1533-position model. The record is from RNAcentral.